AAGUUUAGAAUCUGUCUAUUUCUAGUUCUAUCUUUAGAAUCUUUCUAGUUCUAGUUCUAUAUUUAGCUUCCAUCACGUAUUCAUUGAUUUUUUGAGGUGUCAGUACUGAAUUAAAUAAGCAUAUACUAUCCUCAUAUUUAUAUUUCCCUAAUUCAGACAGUUUCCACAUUAAAUAGAACAGCAAAAAAUGUGUUCACAUGCAGUUUUAGGGAAGUAUUUAUUUAAACUUGUUUCUAUCACGACAUAUCUAUAUCAUAUCCUACAAUGGUAUUCGAAUUACAAGAAUAUCCUUGACUAUUAUUAAUUGUCAUACAACAUAAGCAUAAAAUAUCGACAAUAUCUCUACACAGUUAAUGUGGUGUGCAAUAAAUUAAAGCACAGUAAUUGCUGAAUGAGCAGGAUGUACUAAUAACUGACGACUUGCUUGUCAGUGUUCUGAGUAAAGAAUGAUGCGAUGAACAACGGACUAUCAUGGAUCUGGUGUUUGAAGGCAAUUUUUAUAACGAUUCUCAUGGCCAUACCACUGGUCAUUUAUAUAGUUAAUUCAAAAACGUCUAGUAGUCAUUAUCAGGUUUAUGGAUCUACACAUGCUCAGUGCUUCGGUAGCAAUGACGGAAUAACAUCAGAAGUAGUAAAGAGGAGAAACGAAAUAUCUAGACAAUUAAAUGAUAUGAGCAAAAAACUAGGACAAAUAGAAUGUGAUAGACAACAAGUUAACAGAAAGGGUGGAUGGUGCAAGCAUUUAAGUUUGGAAACAACUGGAGAACAUAAAACCGAUUUUAAACUUGUAAAGGCUUUAUCACGAUUCCUUGAAGGGAAAAAUGUAGGGAGCUUUGGUGAUGGACCCGGUGUUUACAAGCGUGAAAUCCUCUAAUUAGGACAGGUUAGAUAUUACGACGCAUAUGACGGAGCGCCAUUUUGUGAGGAAACAAGUGAAGGGAGAGUUCAAUUUAUGGAUUUAACCAUUGCACAAUACGGAAUACCUCUUUAUGACUGGAUCGUAUCUCUAGAAGUUGCCGAACAUAUACCGCAACAAUAUUAGAGUGUUUAUUUAGAAAACAUAUUUAGACAUGCUCGGGAGGGUAUAAUUUUGAGUUGGGCUGUGCCAGGACAGGGGGGAAUGAGUCAUAUUAAUAAUAAACCCUCUAGUUAUGUGAUUAAUUUGAUGAAGAAUAAUGGGUUUGUCAGAGACGAGGAGCUAUCAAAACUGUUGAGAAAGUCUACAUCGCUAUGGUGGUUACAGCAAAAUACAAAUGUUUAUAAACGAGUAGAUUUUCUGAA
Molecule: long non-coding RNA, 1281 nt
Organism: Mytilus californianus (California mussel)
Lineage: Eukaryota; Metazoa; Mollusca; Bivalvia; Mytilida; Mytilidae
Exons: 4
Source: RefSeq, a predicted model, not a curated record